GGGGGUAUAGCUCAGAGGUAGAGCGUUCGCUUUGCAUGCGAGAAGCCCGGGGUUCGAUCGCCGGUACUUCCA
Molecule: transfer RNA, 72 nt
Filed under: Dermacentor andersoni
Lineage: Eukaryota; Metazoa; Arthropoda; Arachnida; Ixodida; Ixodidae
Description: transfer RNA alanine (anticodon UGC)
Rfam family: tRNA
About the family: Transfer RNA (tRNA) molecules are approximately 80 nucleotides in length.
Source: RNAcentral